This 230-nucleotide long non-coding RNA is filed under the name Mytilus galloprovincialis (Mediterranean mussel). The record is from RNAcentral. Lineage: Eukaryota; Metazoa; Mollusca; Bivalvia; Mytilida; Mytilidae.
GUUUUUUUUCGUACUAUAUGCAAUAGGUCUACUAUAUUUGUUAUAUGGAAUGAUUGUAAGGUGUACAUGUCUAGCGGGCAGAUGUCAUGUGACCUUGACCUCAUUUUCAUGGUUCAGUGGUUAUAGUUAAAUUUUUGUGUUUUGGUCUGUUUAUUUUCAUACUAUAUGCAAUAGGUCUACUAUAUUUGUUGUAUGGAAUGAUUGUAAGGUGUACAUGUCUAGCGGGCAGA